This 82-nucleotide transfer RNA is filed under the name Sclerotinia sclerotiorum 1980 UF-70. RNAcentral describes it as "tRNA-Thr for anticodon UGU". It matches the Rfam family "tRNA". From Rfam's summary of the family: Transfer RNA (tRNA) molecules are approximately 80 nucleotides in length. Their secondary structure includes four short double-helical elements and three loops (D, anti-codon, and T loops). The record is from Rfam by way of RNAcentral. Lineage: Eukaryota; Fungi; Ascomycota; Leotiomycetes; Helotiales; Sclerotiniaceae.
GCCUGCUUGGCGCAGUGGUAACGCGUAGCACUUGUAUGUAAAUGAAAUGCUAAGAUCAUUGGUUCGAUUCCAGUAGUAGGCA